RNAcentral lists this ribosomal RNA (429 nucleotides) under Gemmatimonadota bacterium. RNAcentral's name for it is "Gemmatimonadetes bacterium partial 16S ribosomal RNA". It matches the Rfam family "Bacterial small subunit ribosomal RNA", at positions 355 to 776 of the family's 1533-position model. The record is from RNAcentral. Lineage: Bacteria; Pseudomonadati; Gemmatimonadota.
UAGGGAAUCUUCGGCAAUGGACGAAAGUCUGACCGAGCAACGCCGCGUGAGUGAAGAAGGUUUUAGGAUCGUAAAACUCUGUUGUUAGAGAAGAACAAGGACGUUAGUAACUGAACGUCCCCUGACGGUACCUAACCAGAAAGCCACGGCUAACUACGUGCCAGCAGCCGCGGUAAUACGAAGGUGGCAAGCGUUGACCGGAUCAAUGGGGCGUAAAGCGAGCGCAGGCGGUUUCUUAAGUCUGAUGUGAAAGCCCCCGGCUCAACCGGGGAGGGUCAUUGAAAACUGUGACACUUGAGUGCAGAAGAGGAGAGUGGAAUUCCAUGUGUCGCGGUGAAAUUCGUAUAUAUAUGGAGGAGCACCAGUGGCGAAGGCGGCUCUCUGGUCUGUAACUGACGCUGAGGCUCGAAAGCGUGGGGAGCAAACAGG